UUCGUCAACGUUCUGUGGCCUUGGAGC
Molecule: non-coding RNA, 27 nt
Filed under: Homo sapiens (human)
Lineage: Eukaryota; Metazoa; Chordata; Mammalia; Primates; Hominidae
Source: RNAcentral